RNAcentral lists this ribosomal RNA (440 nucleotides) under uncultured bacterium. RNAcentral's name for it is "partial 16S ribosomal RNA". It matches the Rfam family "Bacterial small subunit ribosomal RNA", at positions 338 to 795 of the family's 1533-position model. The record is from RNAcentral.
CCUACGUGAGGCUGCAGUGGGGAAUAUUGCACAAUGGGGUACACCCUGAUGCAGCGACGCCGCGUGAAGGAAGAAGUAUUUCGGUAUGUAACCUUCUAUCAGCAGGGAAGAAAAUGACGGUACCUGACUAAGAAGCCCCGGCUAACUACGUGCCAGCAGCCGCGGUAAUACGUAGGGGGCAAGCGUUAUCCGGAUUUACUGGGUGUAAAGGGAGCGUAGGCGGUAAUGCAAGUCAGAAGUGAAAGCCCGGGGCUCAACUCCGGGACUGCUUUUGAAACUGUGUUGCUAGAUUGCAGGAGAGGUAAGUGGAACUCCAAGUGUAGCGGUGAAAUGCGUAGAUAUUAGGAGGAACACCAGUGGCGAAAGCGGCUUACUGGACUGUAAAUGACGCUGAGGUUCGAAAGCGUGGGUAGCAAACAGGAUUAGAUACCCGUGUAGUC